RNAcentral lists this long non-coding RNA (1028 nucleotides) under Homo sapiens (human). RNAcentral's name for it is "non-protein coding lnc-SBDS-4:13". The record is from RNAcentral. Lineage: Eukaryota; Metazoa; Chordata; Mammalia; Primates; Hominidae.
GCCCAGUCUGGAGUGCAGUGGCGCAGUCUCGGUUCACUGCAACCUCUGCCUCUCAGGUUCAAGCCAUUCUCGUGCAUCAGCCUCCUGAGAGCUGGGACUACAGGCGCCUGCCACCACAUCCGGUUAAUUUUUGUAUUUUUAGUAGAGAUGGGGUUUUGCCAUGUUGGCCAGGCUGGUCUUGAACUCCUGAGCUCAGGUGAUCUGCCCACCUCGGCCUCCCAAAGUUCUGGGAUUACAGGCGUGAGCCAUGGUGCCCAGCCUGGCUCCUGUUUUUUGAGACAGGGUUUCACCCUGUUUCCCAGGUUGGAGUAUAGUGGUGCCGUCAUGACUUACUGCAGCCUUGAACUCUUUGGCUCAAGCAGUCCUCCCCACUCAGCCUCUCUAGUAGCUGGGGCUCCAGGCAUGAAUCACCGUGCCAGACUAAGUUUUUUUAAAAUUUUUUGUAGAGAGAAUCUCUCUCUGUUGCACAGGCUAUUCUUGAACUCCUAGGCUCAAGUGAUCCUCCUGCUUCAGCCUCCGAAAGUGCUGGGAUUACAGUUACAACGGUGUUGGAGUCUUGGGCCCAAAGACCAGCUCCUAGAACCUGCAGGGAAGCAACGGCACGUUCCAUCUCUCCCCAUGCCACUGAGGAAUCAUUGGUGGCAGGAUUCUCAGCAGGCAUGGCCGUGGGUGCACAGAACAGAGAAAGGAUGGCCUGGACCACACACAUCACUGUGUGCAGAUGCUUUCCUAGACACUGCAGCCAAGGACACAGAGGCUCAGAGAGUCUCACUGUUUUCCAGGCUGGAGUGCAGUGGCAUGAUUUUGGCUCACUGCAACCUCCGCCUACUGAGUUCGAGUGAUUCUUGUGCCUCAGCCUCCAGAGUAGCCAGGAUUACAGGCACCCGCCACCACGCGUGUUGAAUUUUUUGUAUUUUUAGUAGAGAUGGGGUUUCAUUAUGCUGCCCAUUAUGCUCCUGACCUCAGGUGAUCCACCUGCCUUGGCCUUCCAAAGUGCUGGGAUUACAAGCGUGAGCCACUGUGCCCAG